CUUGUCGAUCGUUAGGGAGCCCUUCAACUCGUCGGUUUGAGCAGAGAUCUGGAAGCAUCGACAGGCGAGCUAUUGGUCUCCGCGCAUCUCUCCGACUCCAUUUUUGGUCGAAAAUUGAACCAGGAGAUGGUACGUCGAGAUGAUCGCUUUGAGGGCGUUUAGUCCGGGUCUUCCGAGUAUGGCAUUGUAGGCUGAAGACACCUGGACGACCGCGAAAGUCAAAUGGACUGUGCUUUAUCGUGAUUCGGUACCAACCGUCACGG
This 263-nucleotide long non-coding RNA is filed under the name Elaeis guineensis (African oil palm). Its description in RNAcentral is "long non-coding RNA (EGUI_LNC041750)". Lineage: Eukaryota; Viridiplantae; Streptophyta; Magnoliopsida; Arecales; Arecaceae. The record is from RNAcentral.